This is a non-coding RNA of Punica granatum (pomegranate), 1407 nucleotides long. The record is from RefSeq and is a predicted model, not a curated record. Lineage: Eukaryota; Viridiplantae; Streptophyta; Magnoliopsida; Myrtales; Lythraceae.
GACACCUACUUGUACUUUGGUCAAGCUCAAACGCUCUACUUAUAGAUGAACUUUAAUCAUAUUUCUAUGUAUUAAAGAACGCAAUACAGCUAGCAAAGAGAUAGCAAAAGAUAUAAUCUGCCGAAGAAAAAUGGCCGUUAGUGCUGCUGCUUCAUCUUCUUCAUCUUACUCUAAUUCAUCACGGUUUACUGCGGUUUGCAGCUUCGUCUUGGUUGUGAUCCUCAAUUUCCUGCCACUAAUCUUCGCUAGAAAAUCCGGAAUUGUUCACGGAAGUUUUCCAGCUCCAUCUCAUGGACCAAGAGAUUUGGGCGGAAACAAACGCCUGUAAUUGAACAUCGGAAUAAGUUACCUAGGAGAGAGGACUGUCGUUCGGCACACCAUCAAGGUGGAGCAGCCUAUAUACUUGGACACAUGCACAAUAUAGAUAUCAAGAGUUGGAAAUGCUCUAAACCAGAUAAGUUACAUGUUAAUAAGCUAUCUAGAUGGCUAGCAGUAGCACCAAUGUCUUACAGAAAAUGGAGUCAUAUCGAGCAUUUCAUAUUUCUCGCUAGCUAUGUUGUAUGUGUAUUCAUAUAUUGUAAAUUUUUAAAGAAAUGGUCAAAUUAAUCGAUCGACUUGCGGGCACCUGCUUGAGAUAAAUGAUAUCUAUCUCUUGUAUGAGAGGUAAAGGCUACCCAAGUGAUCAUUCAGAAUAUUGCUCUCAGCAGGGUUGCUUAAUUUUGAGAGAGUUGCACUAUUUCGGUUUGAUUAUCAGCUACUGUCUUCGGAAGUGUUUUCGACUCAACCUCUGCAGUCUGUGCUCAAGAGAAUUCUCAUUCAAAGAAUGGCAAAGUCUCCCCGUGCUUAACAGGCCCGUACCCAGCGAGGCAUGUCUUUGAUCUGGAUGCCGGUUUGGAAGAAAAUGAAGUCCUAUAGCCAAGUCCCAGAUGGUCAUAUUCGUCUACAAGGCAGAGUCCCAGUUUAGAGUGCUGAAGCGAAACAUCUUUUCCAGAGAUGCAAACCAGAAAAUAGAACAUUAAAUUGACAUAAAUCCGAAGAGCUUCGUUCUUCGCUGCCGUCAACAAUGUACACUCGAAAUCGAACUAUCAGCAGGGAUAAGGGGGCCGAGACAUGACGGCGGAGGACGUAGACGCUUGCCUAAUCUGUUGAUUCACUUCUACAGAUGACUUCGUCAUCGUUUUCUUCCUCCUCCGGGUCCUCCCAAGCAAAAUGCCGAAGCCUCCAUGUCACCAUGACUGUUCGGUGAUCACGACAUGGCCCAUAUCAUAUUGGUGGUCGCAUCAGAUAAUUAAUAUGGCCUUUCCGGCCUGUGGGCUAGGCCUGCAACCACAAGUCAUUCUGAGCAUGGCAUGGGGCCUUGCCUAAGUUGCCUUAACUUCUAUGCAAUACGACAUAUUUGUUUUGAUU